AUGUCACUAUGUUUUACAGGUGUCCAGUGUGAGGUACAACUGGUGGAGUCUGGGGGAGACCUGAGGCAGCCUGGAGGGUCUCUGAAGCUCUCCUGUGUAGCCUCUGGGUUCACCUUUAGUAGCUAUUCAAUGAGUUGGGUUCGUCAAGCUCCAGGGAAGGGACUGCAGUGGGUCUCACGUAUUACUAGUAGUGGUGGUAGUACAUACUACACAGAGUCUGUGAAGGGCCGAUUCACCAUCUCCAGAGACAACGCAAAGAACAUGGUGUAUCUGCAGAUGGACAGUCUGAGAACUGAGGACACAGCCAUGUAUUACUGUGCAAGAGACACGGUGAGGGGAAGUCAGUGUGAGCCUAAACAGAAACCUGUCUGUGGGAGCCAAGAGCACAGGAUUCAGAUCCAGGAGCAGGUGCAGAUGUAG
Molecule: non-coding RNA, 420 nt
Organism: Elephantulus edwardii (Cape elephant shrew)
Lineage: Eukaryota; Metazoa; Chordata; Mammalia; Macroscelidea; Macroscelididae
Source: the annotation of a RefSeq genome assembly